GAUGAACGCUAGCGAUAGGCCUAACACAUGCAAGUCGAGGGGCAGCGGGGAGGAAGCUUGCUUUCUCCGCCGGCGACCGGCGCACGGGUGAGUAACACGUAUGCAACCUGCCCCUGUCAGGGGGACAACCCGCCGAAAGGCGGGCUAAACCCGCGUACAUGCCACCGGGGCAUCCCGGAGGCAGGAAAGGCUUCGGCCGGACAGGGAUGGGCAUGCGGCGCAUUAGGCAGUAGGCGGGGUAACGGCCCACCUAACCGACGAUGCGUAGGGGUUCUGAGAGGAAGGUCCCCCACACUGGUACUGAGACACGGACCAG
RNAcentral lists this ribosomal RNA (316 nucleotides) under uncultured bacterium. Its description in RNAcentral is "bacterial SSU rRNA". It matches the Rfam family "Bacterial small subunit ribosomal RNA", at positions 28 to 334 of the family's 1533-position model. The record is from RNAcentral.